GAGUUUGAUCAUGGCUCAGAUUGAACGCUGGCGGCAUGCCUUACACAUGCAAGUCGAACGGCAGCACGGGAGCUUGCUCCUGGUGGCGAGUGGCGAACGGGUGAGUAAUGCAUCGGAACGUGUCCUGGAGUGGGGGAUAACGUAGCGAAAGUUACGCUAAUACCGCAUAUUCUGUGAGCAGGAAAGCGGGGGACCUUCGGGCCUCGCGCUCUUGGAGCGGCCGAUGUCGGAUUAGCUAGUUGGUGAGGUAAAGGCUCACCAAGGCGACGAUCCGUAGCAGGUCUGAGAGGAUGAUCUGCCACACUGGAACUGAGACACGGUCCAGACUCCUACGGAGGCAGCAGUGGGGAAUUUUGGACAAUGGGGGCAACCCUGAUCCAGCCAUGCCGCGUGAGUGAAGAAGGCCUCGGUUGUAAG
RNAcentral lists this ribosomal RNA (417 nucleotides) under bacterium enrichment culture clone ALO1_GLFRUDD03FJ8EG. Its description in RNAcentral is "bacterial SSU rRNA". It matches the Rfam family "Bacterial small subunit ribosomal RNA", at positions 9 to 429 of the family's 1533-position model. The record is from RNAcentral.